UGCGUAGGCGGAUUAAUAAGUCAGUGGUGAAAUCUUUCGGCUCAACCGGGAAACUGCCAUUGAUACUGUUAAUCUUGAGUUCGGUUGAGGUAGGCGGAAUGUGUAAUGUAGCGGUGAAAUGCUUAGAUAUUACACAGAACACCAAUUGCGUAGGCAGCUUACUAGACCGACACUGACGCUGAGGCACGAAAGCGUGGGGAGCGAACAGGAUUAGAUACCCUGGUAGUCC
Molecule: ribosomal RNA, 229 nt
Filed under: uncultured bacterium
Lineage: Bacteria
Description: partial 16S ribosomal RNA
Rfam family: Bacterial small subunit ribosomal RNA
Source: RNAcentral